GCAGACCUGCUGUUAGAGAAGAUAGCAUGGGAGCAAUCCAUUUGUUCCUGACCCUGGGGACUCUUAAGACAGACUGAGUUCUCUCACAUCCGGGCAACCACCAACUUGUGCUGGUGAUUGAUUAAGCCUUUGGGUAUUGUAUACAUCAACCAGUUGCAGCAGGCAAGGGAUGGAGAAAUGAGGCCUCUGGGAAUGAAAGUGUGGAGUCAGCUUUGGGCAAAUGGAAAUUGAAUGGAAGGAGCAUCUCAGGAAGAAGGCUAAGAAGGCAAAACAGAGCUUGCAUUGCAGGAGGCAGACUUCAGACCAGGCUUAGGGUGAGGGAACAAAGACGUCUCAGUGCCCCGGCUGAGAAAUUGGACAAGAAAGACGGGACCCGUGCUCCCCUACAGGAGGUGGGCUGAGGGCAGAGCUGUUUGCCUGGCAGAGGAGGAGCAAACAGCCAUGUUGUAAAUGGCCUCUGAGGAGGACUGGCCUCUAGGAGUUGAGGACCUCAAGCCUACAUCUGCAAGGAAUUGAACGAUGCCAAGAACCCGAACAAACUCUGAAGAUGAGAAUGCGGCCCUGUGCCAA
Molecule: long non-coding RNA, 570 nt
Filed under: Homo sapiens (human)
Lineage: Eukaryota; Metazoa; Chordata; Mammalia; Primates; Hominidae
Description: non-protein coding BFSP2-AS1:2
Source: RNAcentral